UUUAGGACUCAGCCCACCUGCACCCAGGUGAUUAAAAAGCUUUAUUGCUCACACAAAGCCUGUUGGUGGUCUCUUUACAUGGAUGCACAAGACACUCUUGACUUUGAUUUUCUGCAGUAUGAAUAUGGGACAUGCAUGAAAUUUGGUGCCGUGACUCAGAUCGGGGGACCUCCUUUGGGAGAUCAAUCCCCUGUCCUCCUGAUCUUUACUCCAUGAGAAAGAUCCACCUACAACCUCAAGUCCUCAGACUGACCAGCCCAAGAAACAUCUCACCAAUUUCAAAUCCGGACCCUACUGAAAAUCAGACUGUUCAACUCACCUGGCAGCCACUCCCAGAGCCCCUGGAACUCUGGCCCAAGGCUCUCUGACUGACUCCUUCCCAGAUCUUCUCAGCUUAGCAGCUGAAGACUGACACUGCCCAAUCGCCUCAGAAGCCUACAGGACCAUCACAGAUGCUCUAGACUCAGCCCGCCUGCACCCAGGUGAAAUAAACAGCCAUGUUGCUCACACAAAGCCUGUUUGGUGGUCUCUUCACACGGAUGUGCAUGAAACUACCUACACCCAUACGGAAGGGAACAAAUCAUGAAAAGUAAUGGAAUGCUACAGCCUAGUCAGUUUUGAGAAAAGGCUAACCAACAACAACAACAACAAAUCAUAGUCAUGCUCAGAUUGCACAUGAACAAAAAAAUGUUGGAGAGAAACCAUUGAAAUAACUCACCGGUCCUCUUGUGUUGCUGCUUAUCUGAUUAUCUGAGGUCAAGGGAACUGAGGACAACAAAGGAAAUUAGGUCUUUCAUAGUUCUCAUUAAAUGCUGGAGGAGUCUGACUACUGCUGAGCUGAGCACUUCAGCGGCUUUGGAAAAGGAAGUGUGGUUACUUAUUUC
Molecule: long non-coding RNA, 884 nt
Organism: Homo sapiens (human)
Lineage: Eukaryota; Metazoa; Chordata; Mammalia; Primates; Hominidae
Gene: IADEN
Product: IGF2BP1 associated definitive endoderm lncRNA
Source: Ensembl